UGGGGAAUAUUGGACAAUGGGGGAAACCCUGAUCCAGCGAUGCCGCGUGAAUGAAGAAGGCCUUAGGGUUGUAAAGUUCUUUCACCCACGACGAUGAUGACGGUAGUGGGAGAAGAAGCUCCGGCUAACUCCGUGCCAGCAGCCGCGGUAAUACGGAGGGAGCUAGCGUUGUUCGGAAUGACUGGGCGUAAAGGGCGCGUAGGCGGUCUGCUCAGUGAGACGUGAAAGCCCCGGGCUUAACCUGGGAAUUGCGUUUCAUACUGGCAGACUUGAGGACGAGAGAGGAAAGUGGAAUUCCUAGUGUAGAGGUGAAAUUCGUAGAUAUUAGGAAGAACACCAGUGGCGAAGGCGACUUUCUGGCUCGUAACUGACGCUGAGGCGCGAAAGCGUGGGGAGCAAA
This 400-nucleotide ribosomal RNA is filed under the name uncultured bacterium. RNAcentral describes it as "partial 16S ribosomal RNA". It matches the Rfam family "Bacterial small subunit ribosomal RNA", at positions 355 to 772 of the family's 1533-position model. The record is from RNAcentral.